Molecule: unclassified non-coding RNA, 240 nt
Filed under: Melitaea cinxia (Glanville fritillary)
Lineage: Eukaryota; Metazoa; Arthropoda; Insecta; Lepidoptera; Nymphalidae
Description: misc RNA ENSMCXG00005021188.1
Source: RNAcentral
GUGUUAUCGGCAGCUACCCUGGCUCGACUAACGACUAUGUCGUUGUCGCUCGCUGAAAUGUCACAGUGAUUUAUCGUCCGAACGGAAUAGUCAUCGCCGAUAUUUAGAUACAAUUUUUUUCGACGAGGGAGUAUAUUUUAUGCCAUUGAUUUUACUCCAGACGGGUACGCGGUGUAUGUGGAAAAUUGGUAUGAUAUGCGUUGAUUGUAAAAGUAUUAUAAACGAUGUGGGAAUGCUGUA